AUGUCGCCUCCAGUGGUGAGAAUGUCCACUGAGGAUGCCAUCCCUUUAAAUGCGGCCUGGUUGUGGACUGUGCACGAUGUGGACAGCUGUGACAGCACCUGGGAACACAGGCCCGAGGAAGAAUUGCCAAAGCGGUGCAGAAGAGGCUAUGAACAUCCGAAGGGGGGAUUGGAAGUUCAUCUUUGCAUUCCUGGUGCCUGGCACAUAGAAGGCAGUCAAUCAGGUUACUGACUUCUAGAAUUCAAAUGAGCUAGCCAUGGUACAGUUUCUGGCCCUGGGAGCUUAGCCACGGAGAACAGAUUGUGAACUGAAGAGCUAGUGCCCAGCCAGUGGGCACUUCCUGUUGUCAGUCCUCAACUCAAUAGAUCAACGGCCCAGGGGACCCUAAGCAGUGACCUGCAGUCUCCGGUGGGAGCCGGACCUGGGCUCGGCGCCUUUAUGACCGAGGUGAGGCUCUGUCAUCCCUGUCCCUGGGCUUCCGUGUCUCCAUCUGUCAAUGUGGCUGUGGGUCUUAAUUAGAAAGCUCUUAGAGAUUCCUGAAAGGACUGUUACUGUACAGCUACACAAAGGAUAUUAUGUCACAGAGGUACAAAAGCAUGGCAAAUAAUGGAAACCAGGAAUAAUAAGGGCACUUAUUCCCAGAAGCACAUUGAUUUAAACCACAAAAGCUCCUUGGAACACGGCUUGAGAAUUGUAAAAGCCUGAGCAAUCAACAACCCCUGUGGGAGGGAAGCCCAUGCCAGGCAGUUGCUGGAGAGUUCAUUUGGCUGUUGUAGGCAGGCCAGUUUUGUCCCUCAGGUGUUCUCACAUCGGUGACAUUUCCCUGCUGUAGUGAGCCCAGCCUAUUUGCUGGUUUCCGGAGAGAAACAACCAUUACUUCCACAACUCUUGCAUAAGGGUGCAAAGAACUGGCCUUAGCACAGUUCAGCUGACUUUUCCUUCUAUGUAUGAUGAACAUGGGUCUCCAGAUAAUGGAAACUUCAUCACCGCUUCUGCUUCCAAAAUCUGCAUAGCAGCAAUAUCAUCUGGUCACACCUUGACCCAGCCAUUGCUACCUCUGGUUGGCAACUUUGGACGACCACCCAGAUGCAGUGUAUCCGUGAAAAAUAAAGCUCCCUUAAGAAACAGGUCAUCCGACGUGCAAAAGUGUAUUCAAGCAUAGCUUUGACAGCAGAAUGGGCAGAAUCUACAAAGAAUGACGGCUCUGAUGGCAGAAAAAUGUUAAACUUCUGAAUGACAAAAAGCACCAAAACUCAAACUAUAAGAUAAAAAGAACAAAUUGUAGGGAAUAUAUUUGCAGCAUUCAUAAUACACCAAUGAGUACUAUCCUGAAUAUAUAAAGACUUUUGAAAAUCAUUAAGAAAAAUAACAGCCACCCAAUAGAAAAAUGGGUUGAGGAUACAGAGACUUGACAAAAUAAAAAUUACAUAUGGCUAAUGAACAGCUUGUAAAAAUGUAAUAAUGAAAUAAAU
This is an RNA transcript of Odobenus rosmarus divergens (Pacific walrus), 1472 nucleotides long. RefSeq lists it as uncharacterized. The transcript is spliced from 3 exons. NCBI's taxonomy places the organism in Eukaryota, Metazoa, Chordata, Mammalia, Carnivora, Odobenidae. The record is from RefSeq and is a predicted model, not a curated record.